RNAcentral lists this non-coding RNA (306 nucleotides) under Neobacillus vireti. RNAcentral's name for it is "Bacillus vireti T-box sequence". It matches the Rfam family "T-box leader". From Rfam's summary of the family: Uncharged tRNA acts as the effector for transcription antitermination of genes in the T-box leader family. T-boxes are found upstream of many aminoacyl-tRNA synthetase genes and some amino acid biosynthetic genes usually in Gram-positive bacteria. Lineage: Bacteria; Bacillati; Bacillota; Bacilli; Caryophanales; Bacillaceae. The record is from RNAcentral.
UCAAAAUUAAUGACGAGAAGAGUAGUUUGUUCAUUUUGACUUUAGAGAGCCGGCGGUUGGUGAAAGGCGGUGUCAGGACACAAGUGAAAAUCAUCUCUGAGAUGCAAGGCCGAAAAUAGAAAAGCGGAAGCGACUUUUUUGUAACGUACCUUCGUUGCUGGGAGCAUCCACUAGACAUCUUAGUAAGCCUUUGCCGGACCGCCCGCCGUUAAGUUAGGGACACGUAUGAUUGUACGUUGAACGAGAGCCGCAAUUGUUUUUUUGUUGCGGAAGUAGGGUGGUAACGCGAGCUAGCUCGUCCCUAUC